GGUCUCGUCGUAUAGUGGUUAUCACAUCUAUCUAACGCACAGAAGGUCGGCGGUUCGAUCCCGCCCGAGUCCA
Molecule: transfer RNA, 73 nt
Filed under: Angiostrongylus costaricensis
Lineage: Eukaryota; Metazoa; Nematoda; Chromadorea; Rhabditida; Metastrongylidae
Rfam family: tRNA
About the family: Transfer RNA (tRNA) molecules are approximately 80 nucleotides in length.
Source: Rfam by way of RNAcentral